GGUUUGGGCUUUACAUAUUAAUUAAUUUGCUACGACUUCAUUUAGCUUAAUUAAAGGUCCAUACAUAUUAGAGGUCGCAUUUGGUGCGAUGGCAAGUGCCUUCGCCCAUGAGCGGUAGGUCUCGGGUUCGAGACUUGGGAGCAGCCUCUCUAUAAAUGGGGGUAAGGCUAGCCGACAUUCACCUCUCCCAGACCCUGCGUAAAGCGGGAGCCUUGUGCACUGGGUACGACAUUUUUAAAGGUCCAUACAUUAAUAUGAGAAUUAUAUAUUUGGAGUUAGAUGCCAUGCAUUUAAUAUGUGGAUAAAUUUCGGAUGGUCUUUAGUUUAUCUCUUCACUUAGAGAUCACUUCAAACUCUAUUGGAUUAGUUGUUUUAAUUGAUUAGGAUGACAAGUCUGAUCUUUCUUUUUUCUUCGGCCACGUGCUUAAUCUAACCGACCUAUAUAUAUAUAGAUUCAUCAGGUUAG
Molecule: long non-coding RNA, 466 nt
Filed under: Malus domestica (apple)
Lineage: Eukaryota; Viridiplantae; Streptophyta; Magnoliopsida; Rosales; Rosaceae
Description: long non-coding RNA (MDOM_LNC017779)
Source: RNAcentral